CUGCUAUCCCAAGAUAACACUAACAAAGUUGACCUUAGAAUUGGAGUGCCCGGGUUAGAACCUUGCUGGUACCACCUGCUUACUGCAUGCUUCUGAUGUGAGUUCAGGAGAAGCCACUGGCAAGGACAGCAAAGAACAGGAGAACACUCUAGCUUCCCUGAUAGCAUUCAAGGUGCUGUCCAAAGCUCUUGAGUUUCUGCUUUCAAGUGACCCUCAGAAAUGCCCCCAUUCACUGCAGAGGUUCUGUUUCUCCUUGUUUUGUUCCGACUUUAUGGCAGAACUAGGUUAAUGAGUUAAUUACUAUGAGUUAUCACUUGGAUUUGAAGAACCAUCAUUUCUAGGCUUUGCUGCUCAGAGUGGGUUUGCCCUCAGGGGAAGCUAUCUAACCAGAGCCUAACCCACUAGGGUUUUAUCAGAACCUAACUGGCCUGAGGAAAAGAAAUAUUCAACUCCAGCAAGCUCCAGCCUUCCAAACGGAGGAGGAGAAAACCCAAAUCCAGCCCACUUCAGCUAUCUUGUCCCACAUAAAGGGGGAGUGGAAGAAACGUGAGAAGCAGGCAUGAAGUUCACAGUCCGGAGAUGACAUGAUUGUCUAUGCAAAAAAUUCAAAAUAAUCAACAACAAAAAAUCGUGAAACUAGUAAAUAAUUAUAGCAAGAUUUCAGGAUAUGAGAUUUAUAUACAAAGUUCAACUACUUUCAUAUAUACAAGCAAUGAAUAAGAGGGAUUUGAAAUUAAAAAUGAAACUAAUUACAUUACUACCCCCAAAA
This 769-nucleotide long non-coding RNA is filed under the name Pongo abelii (Sumatran orangutan). RNAcentral's name for it is "lincRNA". Lineage: Eukaryota; Metazoa; Chordata; Mammalia; Primates; Hominidae. The record is from RNAcentral.